GUAGGCCCUGGGACACAGCGGGCAGUCUUCUGAACCUUGGCUCUGACCCAAACCAGAUCAUCCCUCUGGGCGGGGAAUCAGAAUCGUCAGUUACCUCUGGGUGUCACAAUGCAGUGGUGUCAGCAUGCCACACGUCUUCACGAGGAGCCAUCUUCUCCAUGACUGGGGUAAUGGUGCUGGGAGAGGUCCACGCCCUUCCCUCCUUUCCCCUUUCCGGGUCUCAAACCGCAGAAGCAGCACCACCCUCUGCCGUUCUCAUCCAGCCCUGGACCCACUCUGCGGCCUCCUUAACCAGCCUCGGCCCCUCCUGGGUCUGCAGCUGCUGGCCGCAGGAUCAACACAUCAGCAGGUCUGCUGGCUCUGGCAAGAGGAAGCUGAUGUCCACACUGGUCUAAUUGGGUUGGGGAAGGAAGAUGGAGUACGUGGAUGUGAGGCUGCCCCAGCACCUCCACUCCUCUCACACAGGCCCGAGAUUCCUUGGUUUUAAGAUGGGAGGAUUUGGUCACCUGGAAUCAGCGACAUCCUGCAUCCCUGGAUGGAUGACCUUUACUGAAAGGCCUGGGUCUGCAAGCUAAAUGCUUCCU
Long non-coding RNA from Bubalus bubalis (water buffalo), 584 nucleotides. RefSeq lists it as uncharacterized. NCBI's taxonomy places the organism in Eukaryota, Metazoa, Chordata, Mammalia, Artiodactyla, Bovidae. The transcript is spliced from 3 exons. The record is from RefSeq and is a predicted model, not a curated record.